GUGACAUUGUUCAACGGCCGCGGUAUCCUAACCGUGCGAAGGUAGCGUAAUCACUUGUCCUUUAAAUGAAGACUAGUAUGAAUGGCCCCACGAAAGCUAUACUGUCUCCUUUUUCUAAUCAGUUAAACUAAUCUCCCCGUGAAGAAGCGGGGAUAAACAUAUAAGACGAGAAGACCCUAUGGAGCUUCAAACAACUGAAACACUUGUAUAUCCUCCCUCACCUGCCAACAUUUAACCUCACAUUUUGUUUCUAGUUUUAGGUUGGGGUGACCACGGAGAAAAAACUAACCUCCACGACGAAAGAGACAUCUCUAAACAAAAAGCUACAUCUUUAUGUAUUAACACAUUAACCUUUAUUGACCCAAUAAAUUGAUCAACGAAC
This 382-nucleotide ribosomal RNA is filed under the name Anomaloglossus baeobatrachus group sp. ABGD cluster 2. Its description in RNAcentral is "partial large subunit ribosomal RNA". It matches the Rfam family "Bacterial large subunit ribosomal RNA", at positions 1914 to 2457 of the family's 2925-position model. Lineage: Eukaryota; Metazoa; Chordata; Amphibia; Anura; Aromobatidae. The record is from RNAcentral.